This 492-nucleotide ribosomal RNA is filed under the name uncultured bacterium. RNAcentral describes it as "bacterial SSU rRNA". It matches the Rfam family "Bacterial small subunit ribosomal RNA", at positions 28 to 516 of the family's 1533-position model. The record is from RNAcentral.
GACGAACGCUGGCGGCGUGCCUAACACAUGCAAGUCGAACGGAAGUUAGAGCUUCGGUUUUAACUUUAGUGGCGAACGGGUGAGUAACGCGUGAAGAACCUGCCUUUCAGUGGGGGACAACAGUUGGAAACGACUGCUAAUACCGCAUGAAACUUCGAGAGGGCAUCCUCUUGAAGUCAAAGCUUUAUGUGCUGAAAGAUGGCUUCGCGUCUGAUUAGCUAGUUGGUGGGGUAACGGCCCACCAAGGCGACGAUCAGUAGCCGGUCUGAGAGGAUGAACGGCCACAUUGGGACUGAGAUACGGCCCAGACUCCUACGGGAGGCAGCAGUGGGGAAUAUUGGUCAAUGGUCUGACGACUGAACCAGCCAUGCCGCGUGAAGGUCACGGCCCUAUGGGUCUUAAACUUCUUUUGCGUAGGGAGCAAUAAGGUCUACGUGUAGACUGAUGAGAGUACCUUGCGAAUAAGCAUCGGCUAACUCCGUGCCAGCAGCC